This 506-nucleotide ribosomal RNA is filed under the name uncultured bacterium. RNAcentral describes it as "partial 16S ribosomal RNA". It matches the Rfam family "Bacterial small subunit ribosomal RNA", at positions 29 to 523 of the family's 1533-position model. The record is from RNAcentral.
AUUGAACGCUGGCGGCAGGCCUAACACAUGCAAGUCGGACGGUAGCACAGAGGAGCUUGCUCCUCGGGUGACGAGUGGCGGACGGGUGAGUAAUGUCUGGGGAUCUGCCCGAUAGAGGGGGAUAACCACUGGAAACGGUGGCUAAUACCGCAUAACGUCGCAAGACCAAAGAGGGGGACCCUCGGGCCUCGCACUAUCGGAUGAACCCAGAUGGGAUUACCUAGUAGGCGGGGUAACGGCCCACCUAGGCGACGAUCCCUAGCUGGUCUGAGAGGAUGACCAGCCACACUGGAACUGAGACACGGUCCAGACUCCUACGGGAGGCAGCAGUGGGGAGUAUUGCACAAUGGGCGCAAGCCUGAUGCAGCCAUGCCGCGUGUAUGAAGAAGGCCUUCGGGUUGUAAAGUACUUUCAGCGGGGAGGAAGGCGAUGUGGUUAAUAACCGCAUUGAUUGACGUUACCCGCAGAAGAAGCACCGGCUAACUCCGUGCCAGCAGCCGCCGUAA